UAAUGUUCUUCUGCAGCUGAUCCUCCAUCUUCUUCUUGUAGCUGUUCUUCCCAUCCUUGAUUUUCUUCCUCAGUUAUUUCUGCACUGUUCUCAAGUCCUCCUUGUUCCCUGAUCAAACAUGUUUCAAUGUUUGUAAAAUAAGCAUAAAAUUUUUGAUAUUCAGGUAAAUUACUAGUCCCCACUGACAUCAUCUGGUCUGGGUACUGUUUUGGGUACUUUAUUUCAACAUUAUACUUAAGUUUAUACAUGAUGGCUGUAUUAGUAGCCCCAUUUACUGAAUGGUGCUAUUAAUUCAACCUCACCGGCAUGUAGAUUCUCUUGUUUACCUCUAGAGAGCAGUAGUACUGUAGAUCGUCUCUAGUAGACGAGGAACCAUGCAGGCGUGCUGUGUAAAUGGUUGUCAGGAACAGAGCUCGGCACAGUUAACCGAUACAAGCUUGGCACGGCUCGUAACCAGAAAAGAAAAUACAUGCUAGAGAUAUUAUUUUAGCAGGUAUUUUUUGAGUGAAUUGCUUUAAAAACACAUAAUCUUUAUCAGCCUUAUACACAUGACAAAUUAAAAAUGGAUGUAAAUGUGCUUGGAAAAAAUACUGAGGUGGAGGAGGGUGAUCCUGCAGACUCUGAGAAAAGAAAGGAGUCUUAAUCUGACAUGUCAGACCAUCAAAGUGAGUACAUAUUAGCUAAAAUGCAUUGACCAUUAUUGUUCACCCAUUAAAUUUAUAACUGCUCUUGGAAGUCAGAUCUAAAAUGUCCUUUUAGAAAAGCUAAAUUGUAUCUUACCAUCACUUAUUAAAAGUGCACUGUUUUACAGAGUAAGUCUUAAUGAAAAUACAUGAAACCGUUUGGGCAUAACUAGGUUUCUUACAGCGAUUUUGUUUGUAUCAUAGGUGAAAAAGAAGAAGCUGAAGGUGGUGGAAUUUCAUCUCAUUCUGAUAAUCCUUUUUCAGAUGUCAAAAAACAAGUGGAUGUUAACACCACAGAGUUGAAUUCUUUUGAGUCUGAGGAAAAUAAAAUUUCACUUGAUCUGUCACAUGACCAUAGUACUGAGAAAUAUAUGGAUGAGGAGGGAAGUGGCAGAGUUGCUAAGCUCAGGGAGAAAUUCACUGGGCCAAAUGAAGCAGCACCUAGAGCUAUUGCCCCCAAAGUUAAUAAGGAGCAAAAUCUGGAUGACCCUGAAAACUCCGGGAGACCAAAUGACAAAGUUACUGCUGUGUCAGUUGAUCAGAGUCCUGAGGAAAAUAUGGAUGAGGAACAAAGUUGUAGAGUUGCUAAGCUCAGGGAGAAAUUCACUGGGCCAAAUGAAGCAGCACCUGAAGGUAGUGCCCAACAAGUUAAUAAGGAGCUAAUACUGGAUGAUCCUGAAAAGUCUGGGAGACCAAAUGACAAAGUUGUGUCAGCUGAUCA
Cyprinodon variegatus (sheepshead minnow) is the source of this 1404-nucleotide long non-coding RNA. RefSeq lists it as uncharacterized. The transcript has 3 exons. The record is from RefSeq and is a predicted model, not a curated record. Lineage: Eukaryota; Metazoa; Chordata; Actinopteri; Cyprinodontiformes; Cyprinodontidae.